CCACAAAAGUAGAAGGUAUUCUACAUAUUAAGCUUUUCUCAAAGAAGUCAAGAAAUCAAAAAUGAUUUGAUUGCACCUAAAAGAGCUGGUCAGAUGUAGAAUGGAACUGCUCAGUGUCCAUACAAAGGAAUGUCUUGCCAUCUCCAAUGAACAUGUAACUUCAGUUAUGAGCUGCAAUAGCACAUGAACCUUUAGAGUAAGUUUCUAGUAGAUUUACUGUAAUGACUGUGACCUUCAGAAUUAUGGCAACAGUUUCCCUGUGGGGAAGUGUCAGGUCAGUGCAAUUUGAUUUUCCAAAAGUAUGCAUCAACUGCCGCUGGAACAAAAGGAUCUUAUUUACUCCAUCUCAACUGCAGAUUUUUUAUUUUCCUAUUUUUUAGAUGAAAAUAUAAUAGCAAUUCCUUUAUUAUGUAACUUGAAUUAAGAAUAAUCACAAACAUUUAUGGAAUGUUGUAUAAAUCGACCACAUGCUGCAUAGUUGAAAAACUAGUUCUGCACUCAAUUUAGCUAGAGCCUUCUUGUCUUCCUAAACCACUGCUUCAAGAAAGGUUAUUGAGAGGGUAUUCAGUCAACAAUAGUUCUGUCUCUGGGAAUGCUGUAAUGAUUUUGCUCAUCCAUUACCCAGAGCAAGGAUUAGCCUGAACUUCUAUGUUGUUUUUUUUUUUUUAAAGACUUAUCAGACAUCAAUAGCAGAGGAAACAAAAUGAAAUCCACAGUCUGAUUUACCCUGUAUGAAACUGUCACACAUUCAUUAAAGGACAACCUGACCUGAAGCUGACCUUGACAUUUAUAAACUCAGCUGAACUCAUGAGGUAAGAGAGGAAAGUUAAAUCUCCGCUGAUCAUGUAUCAAGAGGAAAACAGAGCACGUUCUCAGACUACAUAUGGCAAUACUGACAGCAGGACACAAGUUAAAAAUGCCUUUUACCAUUUGGAAUAUGAUAUGAAAGGCUAUGUUUUCCAAACCAGUUAUAUUUUACAUAUAAGGUACUCUAGAAUACAUAAAGGACUUGUUACAUUUUACAUAAGUAUUACCUUGCAUCUUGUUCUGUAUAAACUAACUUAGUAUGUUUCUGAUUAGUGAAAGUGGUCAUAAACACAUUCUGGCAUUUAAGGUUCUUCUGGCUUGUGUAAUACAGAACAUCAUUUGCAGCCCAUU
Long non-coding RNA from Pezoporus occidentalis (night parrot), 1158 nucleotides. RefSeq lists it as uncharacterized. The transcript is spliced from 2 exons. The record is from RefSeq and is a predicted model, not a curated record. Lineage: Eukaryota; Metazoa; Chordata; Aves; Psittaciformes; Psittacidae.